This 253-nucleotide ribosomal RNA is filed under the name uncultured bacterium. RNAcentral describes it as "partial 16S ribosomal RNA". It matches the Rfam family "Bacterial small subunit ribosomal RNA", at positions 524 to 776 of the family's 1533-position model. The record is from RNAcentral.
UACGUAGGGUCCGAGCGUUGUCCGGAAUUAUUGGGCGUAAAGAGCUCGUAGGCGGUUUGUCGCGUCUGCUGUGAAAUCCCGAGGCUCAACCUCGGGCCUGCAGUGGGUACGGGCAGACUAGAGUGUGGUAGGGGAGACUGGAAUUCCUGGUGUAGCGGUGAAAUGCGCAGAUAUCAGGAGGAACACCGAUGGCGAAGGCAGAUCUCUGGGCCGUAACUGACGCUGAGGAGCGAAAGCGUGGGGAGCGAACAGG